CCCUUAGACGUUCUGGGCUGCACGCGCGCUACACUGAUGCAUCCAACAAGUUUUUUCCUUGUUCGAGAGGACUAGGUAAUCUUAUGAGAAUGCAUCGUGAUGGGGAUAGAUUAUUGCAAUUAUUAAUCUUCAACGAGGAAUUCCUAGUAAGCGCGAGUCAUCAGCUCGUGCUGAUUACGUCCCUGCCCUUUGUACACACCGCCCGUCGCUGCAACUGAUUGGGUGACCUGGUGAACAUCUUGGACCGGCCCACUCAAUUUCGAGAGGACUGGAAAAGGCCGUAAAUCAGGUACAUCUAGAAAUUGCAAAAGUCGUAACA
Molecule: ribosomal RNA, 319 nt
Filed under: uncultured eukaryote
Lineage: Eukaryota
Description: partial 18S ribosomal RNA
Rfam family: Eukaryotic small subunit ribosomal RNA
Source: RNAcentral